GCAAGCAAUCAAGCACUAGAACUUCCAAUGUUGCUCAGAAGAUACACAAAUAAGUGUAGCCCAGUAUUCCAAACUGAUAUUGGAAGUUCUUCCUUCCAUAGAGUUCUUGCUAGCAACAAUCUGUAGCCUGGGACCACUGGUUUACGGGUCUGAACGGUACUCAGGACAAGGGCAACACUUGCGGCGAAAAAGUCCAAAAGUGUCCUGGGGUUAGUGAAACGAGUAUGCAGCCAUUCUGCUAUCAAUAUUUUUGAUGUUAUUGUAAUGUGAGCUCGACAUCCAUAAAACUAGUUAGCAGUUUUGCUUGGCUGGAAGUGAAUUCCAUCAAUUUUUUGCUGGUGGAGCGGUAUGAGCACUGAUAUUUGUUUACUUCUUUGCCUCUGUUUUUCCUGUGAUGGGAAGUUUGUUGAUCCUUUUAGUGAAUUGGGUAUAAAAAUGCUCAAGAAGUUGGAGAGGCUGAGGAUCUUGUUCACCUUCUUCCUUUUGCAUCACUAUUUGUGCUUGAGGCCAUAAGGGUAUAGUUUGCCAGUAACCUUCGUUAACAACCUGCUUGGUCUUGUAGAAAGGGAGAAUGUUGAAUCUUGAUGAGAGGGAAAAUGGGGAAUAACUAUCGCGUCACAAAAGGUUCAACAUGAGGUUUCGUCUCUGUAUUUCUAAGGGGGGACACAAGGUAAAUUGGAGAGUGAAGCAGCCAUCGAGAAACGUAAUUUUGUUGAAUGCUUCGUGCAAAUCAUCAAUUGAACCUUCAGAGUGGCAUUUCUUUGCAUCGGUGGCCGCUUGAACCACGUUGAUGUACAAAGCAUUAAUGGGUACUCACUAUGCCGAACAAAACGAUUGUAACCUUGAGCUUUUCCAUUUCCUGGAGCUCUGGUUUGCCAUGAUGACGAGGACCAAUGGAGACCUCCAAGGGAUUGUAGCAUUCAGAGUUGGAUUUGAUCUCUGGAAACAUUACACGUGUAGAACUCGCUAAAUCUUGGCCUGUUGCCCUCGGUUGUUUCCUUCUUGUCUUCAUUAUGGAACUUAACCACUCGUUAUUAGCAUCUGAAGAAGGUGAACUCGCUUCAUUUUCUAUUACAAUGCUUAUUGUUUCAGUCACUGGCAGUGCUGGAUCUAAUAUUCAAAAUGUGACGGUAUAUAUGAAGAUCACGUUCUGAACUGACUAUGAACAGCUCUUUCAAGCCUAAGUUGAGAUG
This 1193-nucleotide unclassified non-coding RNA is filed under the name Hevea brasiliensis (rubber tree). Lineage: Eukaryota; Viridiplantae; Streptophyta; Magnoliopsida; Malpighiales; Euphorbiaceae. The record is from RNAcentral.